GGGGUUGUAGCUCAGUGGUAGAGCACUUGCCUUGCAUGCAUGAGAUACUGGGUUCAAUCCUCAGCACCA
This 69-nucleotide transfer RNA is filed under the name Ictidomys tridecemlineatus (thirteen-lined ground squirrel). RNAcentral's name for it is "Spermophilus tridecemlineatus (thirteen-lined ground squirrel) tRNA". It matches the Rfam family "tRNA". From Rfam's summary of the family: Transfer RNA (tRNA) molecules are approximately 80 nucleotides in length. Their secondary structure includes four short double-helical elements and three loops (D, anti-codon, and T loops). The record is from Rfam by way of RNAcentral. Lineage: Eukaryota; Metazoa; Chordata; Mammalia; Rodentia; Sciuridae.